This 728-nucleotide ribosomal RNA is filed under the name uncultured bacterium. RNAcentral's name for it is "bacterial SSU rRNA". It matches the Rfam family "Bacterial small subunit ribosomal RNA", at positions 230 to 980 of the family's 1533-position model. The record is from RNAcentral.
CCCGCCGUCGAAUAGCUAGUUGUUGGGGUAAUGCUACCAGCGACCAUCCGUAGCUGGUCUAGAGAUGACAGCUACACUGGGACUGAGACACCGCCGCAGACUCGUACGGGAGGCAGCAGUGGGAAUAUUCGACCAGAUGGGCGCGAGCCUGAUCCAGCCAUGCCGCGUGGGUGAAGAAGGCCCUAGGGUUGUAAACCGAUGAUGGCGUGGAAGAUAAUGACGGUACCCGCAGAAGAAGCCCCGGCUAACUCCGUGCCAGCAGCCGCGGUAAUACGGAGGGGGCUAGCGUUGUUCGGAAUUACUGGGCGUAAAGCGCGCGUAGGCGGACCUGCAAGUCGGGGGUGAAAGCCCGAGGCUCAACCUCGGAACUGCCUUCGAUACUGCGGGUCUCGAGUCCGGGAGAGGUGAGUGGAAUUCCUAGUGUAGAGGUGAAAUUCGUAGAUAUUAGGAAGAACACCAGUGGCGAAGGCGGCUCACUGGCCCGGUACUGACGCUGAGGCGCGAAAGCGUGGGGAGCAAACAUGAUUAGAUACCCUGGUAGUCCACGCCGUAAAUCUAUGGCUUCCAGCCGUCGGGGAGCUUGCUCUUCGCUCGCGCAGCAAACGCAUUAAGCACCCCGCCUGGGGAGUACGAUCGCAAGAUUAAAACUCAAAGGAAUUGACGGGGGCCCGCACAAGCGGUGGAGCAUGUGGUUUAAUUCGAGGCAACGCGAAGAACCUUACCAGCCC